This is a long non-coding RNA of Peromyscus leucopus (white-footed mouse), 180 nucleotides long. RefSeq lists it as uncharacterized. The record is from RefSeq and is a predicted model, not a curated record. The transcript is spliced from 3 exons. Lineage: Eukaryota; Metazoa; Chordata; Mammalia; Rodentia; Cricetidae.
CGAGAACUCCACAGAGCAGGAGCUUGAACCAAGUCCACCCCUGAGGCAACUGGAAGACCAUAAAAGGGGUGAGGCACUCAGGCAGAUCUUGGUCAACCGUUACUAUGGAAACAUCAGACUUUCGGGAAGAAGAGAGAGCCUUACAAGCUUUGGCAAUGGCCCGCUAUCGCAGGAGGACCC